UUCGGAGAACAUUAGCAUCAUACUAACUGGAUCCCCAAACGCUUUGCCAUUUUUAUGUUUUGUACAUUUACGACGCCGGAUUCAAACAUUUUUCCCGUUUAACCUUUCUUUGAGACAAACGUAAAUUGAGUCACGAAUUUUUACCACGGCAACGUUCACGUCGGAUCGAAAAACAACCGCUUCGAUUACUAACCUUAUCGGUUUGUUGACAAGAGCUGUUUGCGAUUUCGCGCACUUCACUGAGUAGUUCCAAAUCAAUUGAAAUUUUGCAUAUGAAAAUUCAUUUAAAGUUUGCAUAGGCGAAAAGAAGAUAAGCUGCACGUAAAAGUUCAAGCAAUGAAAGCUGUGAAUAUUCUGACAAUGGGAGCGGGAACAUUGAUAGCAGCCAAACCGAUUUUUUCUCGUCAACAAGUGGUAGCCGCAGCUGCAGUUUUCGUGACAAUUUAGAUGCGGGAGAAACAGAUGAGUCAGUCAUAAAGAUUCCUCGAGCUUUUAGAGUGCCGGAAAGUAGACUUCAAAACUUCUUAAAGACUACGCAAAGUUAAUGAGUAGUCAAUCAUCACUCCUCGAAAAGUACCAUAAGCUGAAAGUCAUAACUCCCUUAUACUAUCAAACAAAUAAGUACUAAUGUUAGCUACAAUGAAUUUUAAUGUCUAAACAUGGCUCUAAGUAUUUUCCUCUUAUCUUUAUUGUAUCACCUUGAGUCAGAGAUUUAUCAUCUCGGGUGAGGUGCUCAAAACACCUCACGCGAGUCUGAAAUAGCCUUUCUGCCCAUGGAACACACCGUAUUUUUAACAACGAGGGCAUAAAAGGACCUAUUUCAACGCCGGAAAGUAGCGUAGGGAAUCGUGCAUUUCAAGUCGUGCACAAUACAGUUGUUAGUAAGCGUGUAUUUUAAACAACGUAUAAAAUUUGCAAAACCUUAGAAAACACGUAUUAAUAGCGGGAAAAUGGCCUUAUUUCCCCUAGGGGAAAAACAGGUCAUUUUUUCUCGCUGUAAGCGGAGAA
This is a long non-coding RNA of Nasonia vitripennis (jewel wasp), 1008 nucleotides long. RefSeq lists it as uncharacterized. The transcript has 4 exons. The record is from RefSeq and is a predicted model, not a curated record. NCBI's taxonomy places the organism in Eukaryota, Metazoa, Arthropoda, Insecta, Hymenoptera, Pteromalidae.